GCGGACGUAGCUCAGUCGGUAGAGCUCCUGGUUGUGGUCCAGGCGGUCGCGGGUUCGAGCCCCGUCGUUCGCCCC
RNAcentral lists this transfer RNA (75 nucleotides) under freshwater metagenome. RNAcentral's name for it is "tRNA-His". It matches the Rfam family "tRNA". Rfam says of the family: Transfer RNA (tRNA) molecules are approximately 80 nucleotides in length. Their secondary structure includes four short double-helical elements and three loops (D, anti-codon, and T loops). Further hydrogen bonds mediate the characteristic L-shaped molecular structure. tRNAs have two regions of fundamental functional importance: the anti-codon, which is responsible for specific mRNA codon recognition, and the 3' end, to which the tRNAs corresponding amino acid is attached (by aminoacyl-tRNA synthetases). tRNAs cope with the degeneracy of the genetic code in two manners: having more than one tRNA (with a specific anti-codon) for a particular amino acid; and 'wobble' base-pairing, i.e. permitting non-standard base-pairing at the 3rd anti-codon position. The record is from RNAcentral.